UACGGGGGGGCAAGCGUUGUUCGGAAUUACUGGGCGUAAAGGGCUCGUAGGCGGCCAACUAAGUCGGAUGUGAAAUCCCCAAGCUUAACUUGGGAACUGCAUCCGAUACUGGAUGGCUUGAAUCCGGGAGAGGGAUGCAGAAUUCCAGGUGUAGCGGUGAAAUGCGUAGAUAUCAGGAGGAAUACCGGUGGUGCAGACGGCUCUCUGGACCGCAACUGACGCUGAGACACGAAAGCGUGGGGAGCGAACAGG
RNAcentral lists this ribosomal RNA (252 nucleotides) under uncultured bacterium. RNAcentral's name for it is "partial 16S ribosomal RNA". It matches the Rfam family "Bacterial small subunit ribosomal RNA", at positions 524 to 776 of the family's 1533-position model. The record is from RNAcentral.